CCUGACGAUCAUAGCGAGUUGGUACCACCUGAACCCAUUCCGAACUCAGCAGUGAAACGGCUCAGCGCCGAUGGUAGUGUGGGGUCUCCCCAUGUGAGAGUAGGUCGUUGUCAGGU
RNAcentral lists this ribosomal RNA (116 nucleotides) under Gammaproteobacteria bacterium. The record is from RNAcentral. Lineage: Bacteria; Pseudomonadati; Pseudomonadota; Gammaproteobacteria.